RNAcentral lists this ribosomal RNA (253 nucleotides) under uncultured prokaryote. RNAcentral's name for it is "partial 16S ribosomal RNA". It matches the Rfam family "Bacterial small subunit ribosomal RNA", at positions 525 to 777 of the family's 1533-position model. The record is from RNAcentral.
ACGAGGGGGGCAAGCGUUGUUCGGAAUUAUUGGGCGUAAAGGGCGCGUAGGCGGUGCGGUAAGUCACCUGUGAAAACUCUGGGCUCAACUCAGAGCCUGCAGGCGAAACUGCCGUGCUUGAGUGUGGGAGAGGUGCGUGGAAUUCCCGGUGUAGCGGUGAAAUGCGUAGAGAUCCGGAGGAACACCGACGGCGUAGGCAGCGCCCUGGCCGUCCCCUGACGCUGAGGCACGAAAGCUGGGGGAGCGAACAGGA